UACGUAGGGUGCAAGCGUUAAUCGGAAUUACUGGGCGUAAAGCGUGCGCAGGCGGUUUCGUAAGUCUGUCGUGAAAUCCCCGGGCUUAACCUGGGAAUGGCGAUGGAGACUGCGAGGCUAGAGUUUGGCAGAGGGGGGUAGAACUCCACGUGUAGCAGUGAAAUGCGUAGAGAUGUGGAGGAACACCGAUGGCGAAGGCAGCCCCCUGGGUCAAAACUGACGCUCAUGCACGAAAGCGUGGGGAGCAAACAGG
This 253-nucleotide ribosomal RNA is filed under the name uncultured bacterium. RNAcentral describes it as "partial 16S ribosomal RNA". It matches the Rfam family "Bacterial small subunit ribosomal RNA", at positions 524 to 776 of the family's 1533-position model. The record is from RNAcentral.